Molecule: ribosomal RNA, 468 nt
Filed under: uncultured bacterium
Lineage: Bacteria
Description: partial 16S ribosomal RNA
Rfam family: Bacterial small subunit ribosomal RNA
Source: RNAcentral
GACGAACGCUGGCGGCGUGCUUAACACAUGCAAGUCGAACGGAAAGGCCCUGCUUUUGUGGGGUGCUCGAGGGGCGAACGGGUGAGUAACACGUGAGUAACCUGCCCUUGACUGUGGGAUAACUUCAGGAAACUGGGGCUAAUACCGGAUAGGAGCUCCUGCUGCAUGGUGGGGGUGGGAAAGUUUCGGCGGUUGGGGUUGGACUCGCGGCUUAUCAGCUUGUUGGUGGGGUAGUGGCUUACCAAGGCCUGGACGCGUUGCCGGGCUGGGCGGGUAACCGGCCCAGUCGGACUUGGGAUGCGGCACGGCCCCCUCCGGGAGGGAGGGGUGGAGAGUAGAGUAUUGUGGGCGGGGGCCUGGUGCGGCAACGCCGCGUGGGGUAUGACGGCCUUCGGGUUGUGUACCGCUUCCGCUUGUGACGAGGCGUGAGUGACGGUAAUGGGUGAAGAAGCACCGGCUAACUACGUG